UUUGCUCUGAUUCCUCCUUGUCCUUCAGGCUUCGCCAGGGGGCUAGAAGUGGACCUUGAGGAAACUAGAAGUGGACCUUGAGGAAACCCGACUCCCCUGAGCCACAGGCAAGUGACGCCUGAGCGUGCUCAGGCUGGUGGGAACUUCCGCCUGGCCUCCGCCCGCUUUUGGCCUCCUCAGAGGCGGGUGCGGACUUACUCUUCGGCUCCGCCCACUCGCCUUGUACGACCGGGCGCCCCGCUGGCUCCGAGUGGCCGAAGGUGGCAGCACCGAGGACCAUGUGGGCCCUGGGACCUACCAGGUUCCAGUCCUGAAGCUGAGGGCGGCAGAUGGCUAUGCACCAUUUCUUUCUUUGACUGCUAGAGAAAGCACUUUUGCUGUUGUCUCCACUAUUGAAGAAGAUGUCCCAGGUCCAGGACACUAUAAUGUUUCAGAAGAACAGACCAAAAUAUCAUCUGUCAUUUUUUAUUGUCCCCAUGUAUCAUCUUCUUUCUGUUUACAAUCUGCA
This is a non-coding RNA of Heterocephalus glaber (naked mole-rat), 508 nucleotides long. The record is from RefSeq and is a predicted model, not a curated record. NCBI's taxonomy places the organism in Eukaryota, Metazoa, Chordata, Mammalia, Rodentia, Bathyergidae.